UGCUUCUCUGAUGUUAGCGGCGGACGGGUGAGUAACACGUGGAUAACCUACCUAUAAGACUGGGAUAACUUCGGGAAACCGGAGCUAAUACCGGAUAAUAUUUUGAACCGCAUGGUUCAAAAGUGAAAGACGGUCUUGCUGUCACUUAUAGAUGGAUCCGCGCUGCAUUAGCUAGUUGGUAAGGUAACGGCUUACCAAGGCAACGAUGCAUAGCCGACCUGAGAGGGUGAUCGGCCACACUGGAACUGAGACACGGUCCAGACUCCUACGGGAGGCAGCAGUAGGGAAUCUUCCGCAAUGGGCGAAAGCCUGACGGAGCAACGCCGCGUGAGUGAUGAAGGUCUUCGGAUCGUAAAACUCUGUUAUUAGGGAAGAACAUAUGUGUAAGUAACUGUGCACAUCUUGACGGUACCUAAUCAGAAAGCCACGGCUAACUACGUGCCAGCAGCCGCGGUAAUACGUAGGUGGCAAGCGUUAUCCGGAAUUAUUGGGCGUAAAGCGCGCGUAGGCGGUUUUUUAAGUCUGAUGUGAAAGCCCACGGCUCAACCGUGGAGGGUCAUUGGAAACUGGAAAACUUGAGUGCAGAAGAGGAAAGUGGAAUUCCAUGUGUAGCGGUGAAAUGCGCAGAGAUAUGGAGG
This 638-nucleotide ribosomal RNA is filed under the name uncultured Staphylococcus sp. RNAcentral's name for it is "bacterial SSU rRNA". It matches the Rfam family "Bacterial small subunit ribosomal RNA", at positions 79 to 704 of the family's 1533-position model. Lineage: Bacteria; Bacillati; Bacillota; Bacilli; Caryophanales; Staphylococcaceae. The record is from RNAcentral.